GACGAACGCUGGCGGCGUGCUUAGCACAUGCAAGUCGAACGGAAAGGCCUUUUCGGAGGUACUCGAGUGGCGAACGGGUGAGUAACACGUGGGUGAUCUGCCCUGCACUCUGGGAUAAGCCUGGGAAACUGGGUCUAAUACCGGAUAGGACCGCACUUUAGUGUGUGUGGUGGAAAGUUUUUUCGGUGUAGGAUGAGCCCGCGGCCUAUCAGCUUGUUGGUGGGGUAAUGGCCUACCAAGGCGGCGACGGGUAGCCGGACUGAGAGGUUGGUCGGCCACAUUGGGACUGAGAUACGGCCCAGACUCCUACGGGAGGCAGCAGUGGGGAAUAUUGCACAAUGGGCGCAAGCCUGAUGCAGCGACGCCGCGUGGGGGAUGACGGCCUUCGGGUUGUAAACUCCUUUCGCCAGGGACGAAGCGUUUUGUGACGGUACCUGGAGAAGAAGCACCGGCUAACUACGUG
RNAcentral lists this ribosomal RNA (463 nucleotides) under uncultured bacterium. RNAcentral's name for it is "partial 16S ribosomal RNA". It matches the Rfam family "Bacterial small subunit ribosomal RNA", at positions 28 to 507 of the family's 1533-position model. The record is from RNAcentral.